AGAUUUAUCCUGGCUCAGGAUGAACGCUGGCGGCGUGCCUAAUACAUGCAAGUCGAGCGAAUGGAUUAAGAGCUUGCUCUUAUGAAGUUAGCGGCGGACGGGUGAGUAACACGUGGGUAACCUGCCCAUAAGACUGGGAUAACUCCGGGAAACCGGGGCUAAUACCGGAUAACAUUUUGCACUGCAUGGUGCGAAAUUGAAAGGCGGCUUCGGCUGUCACUUAUGGAUGGACCCGCGUCGCAUUAGCUAGUUGGUGAGGUAACGGCUCACCAAGGCAACGAUGCGUAGCCGACCUGAGAGGGUGAUCGGCCACACUGGGACUGAGACACGGCCCAGACUCCUACGGGAGGCAGCAGUAGGGAAUCUUCCGCAAUGGACGAAAGUCUGACGGAGCAACGCCGCGUGAGUGAUGAAGGCUUUCGGGUCGUAAAACUCUGUUGUUAGGGAAGAACAAGUGCUAGUUGAAUA
RNAcentral lists this ribosomal RNA (468 nucleotides) under Bacillus sp. 199-4.3-CV-H(h)-04. RNAcentral's name for it is "bacterial SSU rRNA". It matches the Rfam family "Bacterial small subunit ribosomal RNA", at positions 10 to 466 of the family's 1533-position model. The record is from RNAcentral. Lineage: Bacteria; Bacillati; Bacillota; Bacilli; Caryophanales; Bacillaceae.